This 576-nucleotide ribosomal RNA is filed under the name Corynebacterium bovis. RNAcentral's name for it is "bacterial SSU rRNA". It matches the Rfam family "Bacterial small subunit ribosomal RNA", at positions 35 to 625 of the family's 1533-position model. The record is from RNAcentral. Lineage: Bacteria; Bacillati; Actinomycetota; Actinomycetes; Mycobacteriales; Corynebacteriaceae.
GCUGGCGGCGUGGCUAACACAUGCAAGUCGAACGGAAAGGCCCCAGCUUGCUGGGGUACUCGAGUGGCGAACGGGUGAGUAACACGUGGGUGAUCUGCCCUGCACUCUGGGAUAAGCCUGGGAAACUGGGUCUAAUACCGGAUAGGACCGUGCUUUAGUGUGUGCGGUGGAAAGUUUUUCGGUGCAGGAUGAGCCCGCGGCCUAUCAGCUUGUUGGUGGGGUAAUGGCCUACCAAGGCGGCGACGGGUAGCCGGCCUGAGAGGGUGUACGGCCACAUUGGGACUGAGACACGGCCCAGUCUCCUACGGGAGGCAGCAGUGGGGAAUAUUGCACAAUGGGCGCAAGCCUGAUGCAGCGACGCCGCGUGGGGGAUGACGGCCUUCCGGUUGUAAACCCCUUCCGGCAGGGACGAAGCUUUAGUGACGGUACCUGCAUAAGAAGCACCGGCUAACUACGUGCCAGCAGCCGCGGUAAUACGUAGGGUGCGAGCGUUGUCCGGAAUUACUGGGCGUAAAGAGCUCGUAGGUGGUUUGUCGCGUCGUCUGUGAAUUCCCGGGGCUUAACACCGGGCGGCCC